This is a long non-coding RNA of Calypte anna (Anna's hummingbird), 402 nucleotides long. RefSeq lists it as uncharacterized. The record is from RefSeq and is a predicted model, not a curated record. The transcript has 3 exons. Lineage: Eukaryota; Metazoa; Chordata; Aves; Apodiformes; Trochilidae.
CUGACAUCCCGACCGGUGUGACACUGAUGCCUUUGGGCAGAAAUCAGAGCCGGUUUGCUCCAUGUCUCUGUGUAACCACGAUGCCUGUAGCACCUCUGAGAGCCCCCAGUGCCCUGGUGGGGAAAUGGAGCAAGCACGUGAGCCCCAAAUGAACUGCCAGAAGAAAGGAGGGAUUAGCCACAGUGAGCCUGCUCCCCGUGUUCAGAGAACUUCCAGACCACACAGGCAGGAGGUGGGAUAAUGUAUACCCAGAGGAAACCAAGACAUGGAGAAGAUAGCAGUUCCUUGGUUUCAGCUAAUUACCACAUUCCCUUGAAGGAGGAGAGAUGCCUCUCCCAAGUUUCUCUGCUAGCACUGUGAGAGAACUGAUCUCUGAGCUGCUCAGUGGUUACUGACAUCAUU